Molecule: long non-coding RNA, 496 nt
Filed under: Sus scrofa (pig)
Lineage: Eukaryota; Metazoa; Chordata; Mammalia; Artiodactyla; Suidae
Description: lncRNA (ENSSSCG00005022166.1)
Source: RNAcentral
GAUCCUCAGCCCCCCUGGGCCUCAGUACCCUCCACUGCAGCACAGAGGUCAUGUUAUCUUCUCUACCCACCUCCCUGGAUGGUUAUGAGAACAUGACGUGACAAUGGAUAUGAAAAUUCUCUGAAAAUUUCAAAGAAUAUGCUGAAGGUAUUUCCUUCCUGAAGGCCAUCGGGGACCAGAGUGUCCUCCGGUUAUCUCUCUCUGCCGCCGGCUCCUCGCCUGACUCUGACCUCACCUCGGCGUCAGUCUUAUCAGUCUCAGCUGUGCACCUCCCAGAAGCUUCUCACAUCCGUGUUGUCACAUUCUAGUGCUUGGAAGGGAAGCAGGGGUCAGACCACCCCUCACCAUGAUGUCCUGGGUGGCAGAAAGCCAGGGCCAUAGCUGCGGCAUAGGGUUCAAAUUGGAGCUGCAGCUGCCAGCCUCUGCCACAGCCAGAGCAACUUGGGAUCAGAGACACAUCUGCAAUCUACACCACAGCUCACAGAAACGUCAGAUC